UACGAGGGGUGCAAGCGUUAAUCGGAUUUACUGGGCGUAAAGCGCGCGUAGGCGGCUUGUUAAGUCGGAUGUGAAAGCCCUGGGCUCAACCUAGGAACUGCAUUCGAUACUGGCGAGCUAGAGUACGAUAGAGGGUGGUAGAAUUCCUAGUGUAGCGGUGAAAUGCGUAGAUAUUAGGAGGAAUACCAGUGGCGAAGGCGGCCACCUGGAUCGAUACUGACGCUGAAGUGCGAAAGCGUGGGGAGCAAAC
RNAcentral lists this ribosomal RNA (250 nucleotides) under uncultured bacterium. RNAcentral describes it as "partial 16S ribosomal RNA". It matches the Rfam family "Bacterial small subunit ribosomal RNA", at positions 524 to 773 of the family's 1533-position model. The record is from RNAcentral.